Molecule: ribosomal RNA, 254 nt
Filed under: uncultured bacterium
Lineage: Bacteria
Description: partial 16S ribosomal RNA
Rfam family: Bacterial small subunit ribosomal RNA
Source: RNAcentral
UACAGAGGGUGCAAGCGUUGUUCGGAAUUAUUGGGCGUAAAGGGAGUGUAGGCUGUGAGGUAAGUCUUCUGUGAAAUCUACGGGCUUAGCCUGUAACGUGCAGAGGAAACUGCUUCGCUUGAGUGUCGGAGAGGAUAGGGGAAUACCCGGUGUAGAGGUGAAAUUCGUAGAGAUCGGGUGGAACACCAGUGGCGAAGGCGCCUAUCUGGCUGACAACUGACGCUGAGACUCGAAAGACAUGGGGAGCAAACAGG